RNAcentral lists this ribosomal RNA (466 nucleotides) under uncultured bacterium. Its description in RNAcentral is "bacterial SSU rRNA". It matches the Rfam family "Bacterial small subunit ribosomal RNA", at positions 917 to 1382 of the family's 1533-position model. The record is from RNAcentral.
GGACCCGCACAAGCGGUGGAGCAUGUGGUUCAAUUCGAUGCAACGCGAAGAACCUUACCUGGCCUUGACAUCCUCGGAACUUGGCAGAAAUGCCUUGGUGCCUUCGGGAACCGAGAGACAGGUGCUGCAUGGCUGUCGUCAGCUCGUGUCGUGAGAUGUUGGGUUAAGUCCCGCAACGAGCGCAACCCUUGUCCUUAGUUGCCAGCACUUCGGGUGGGCACUCUAAGGAGACCGCCGGUGACAAACCGGAGGAAGGUGGGGAUGACGUCAAGUCAUCAUGGCCUUUAUGGCCAGGGCUACACACGUGCUACAAUGGCCGGUACAGAGGGCAGCCAACCCGCAAGGGGGAGCUAAUCCCACAAAGCCGGUCGUAGUCCGGAUCGGAGUCUGCAACUCGACUCCGUGAAGUCGGAAUCGCUAGUAAUCGCGAAUCAGCAUUGUCGCGGUGAAUACGUUCCCGGGUCUU